AUUUUUUAAUCAUGUCAAAUGUAACCCUGCAACAGUCUCAGGAGUCAUUUUUAGGACUUUCGCUUCAUUUUCCUGCCUUAUAUUAGUACUUAUAUACAGACUUUGAAUACAUCCUCCCCCUCAGAUAGGCAGUGGUGGUAUUUAUGGAGUAUCUGUCAUCAUGUGAAGCCUUUCUCUGGUUGUGGAAUGCAGUUUUUAGUGCAGACCUCAGACAGGUGCCACUGCAGGCAACAUGUCUGAACAGAGACUCAGUCAAACUCAUGGAAAACUUCACAUCGGUCAGAGUGUAUUUGCUUUUAUAGCUCCAUAAUCAUAAAUCUCGAUCCUAAUAUGUGACUUUUGAGAAAACUAUCUCACCACAAGUUCCUUUCAGUGGCUGUUCUCAGAGGUGGAUUUGGUCAUUUCAAGGUCGACAUCCAUGUUUCAUAAGUUUACUGCUCAUAAAUAUGUAGUCUUUCAGCUUAGCCAUCAUCAGCUGCCACAGAGGUGCUUACAGAUUAGAUAAAGUUAGUUUAACAGCUUCAUGGAGCCGGAGGGGAAGUUUUUUGAGGGCUCAACCUCAUAAAUUUAUUAGAAAUGUGGUUCUGGGUCCUUCAGGCAGCAGUGAAAAUGAAGUGAUGGCAAGAUGGGACAGGAGGAAUCCUGCUCUAAUAAAGGGACACACUUUCAAAAUAAAGGCAUAUUUAAAAAUCAAAGUCAGAGACUGAUUUAGCUGCAAAUAGACAAAUCACUCAUUCAGCAAGUGUUUCACGUCUGUCUCCACAUCCCACUGGAAAUACAACGGACUUCACUAGUCACUAGCAUCACCAGGCUAGUCAUUAGUAAUCCUAUACUAGUUACUAGCAUCCCUAGGUUUUCCAACUAGCAUUCCAAAACUAGUCAGUAGCAUCUCUUAGUCAAUCACUAGCAUCCUUGGGCUAACAACUAGCAUUCCUAUCCUAGAUACUAGCGUCUUUGGACUAUCAACUAGCAUUCAAAUGCUUUCCAUUAGCAUAUCUAGGCUAGUUACUAGUUUUGGCUCUAAACUAGUAUCUGUCAGAUUGUGACUAGCAUUCUGAGGCAAGUCACUAGCAUCUUUUGACCUGUAACUAGCAUGUUUUAACUAGCAACUAUCAUUCUGUGGCUUGUUACUAGCAUUACACACGUUACUAGAAUUUUUAGACAAAGAACUAGCAUUCCUAGGCUAGUAACUAGCAUGCUUAUCACUAGUGUCUGAUAGCUAGAAGCUAGCAUCUUAAGGACAGUGACUAGCAUCCCAAGGCUAGCAACUAGUAUAAAUGUCUGAUAAAUUGUAAUAAUAUUCUCCUGCACAGUAUUGUUUUUAUGUAUUAACAAAACAUUGUAGUCCUGCAUUGCCACCUUGUGUUCUGUUCCGCUUUUAUUUUGUGGAGCGCGUUUCUUCUUCUUCUGAUGUUUUUUGCGAUGCCGAACUUCCUGUUUCUUUGUCUUCACACGUUGUGCUCAUUCAUCGUCGGAGGAACGGUAAAACCUGUCUAAACACACUAGUUAUACCUUAUAUUUAUCUGUUUGAAUUGUAUGAGGAAAGAGUUUAUGUUGUGAUUUACCUCAUUAUUUUGUGUUCGUAGCUGUGAACAACGACGUGUGAAUGUAUCGAGCUGGAGAGCAUGCUAGCUGAUGGCUAACACUCUGAAAUUAGCGCCCUUGGAGAGCGGAAUGAGUUUUAAACUCUCUGGGUCUUGAUCAGUGAGUCUAAAG
Amphiprion ocellaris (clown anemonefish) is the source of this 1716-nucleotide long non-coding RNA. The record is from Ensembl. Lineage: Eukaryota; Metazoa; Chordata; Actinopteri; Pomacentridae.